UGGUUUCGGCUCGUAAAACUCUGUUGUUAAAGAAGAACAUAUCUGAGAGUAACUGUUCAGGUAUUGACGGUAUUUAACCAGAAAGCCACGGCUAACUACGUGCCAGCAGCCGCGGUAAUACGUAGGUGGCAAGCGUUGUCCGGAUUUAUUGGGCGUAAAGCGAGCGCAGGCGGUUUUUUAAGUCUGAUGUGAAAGCCUUCGGCUCAACCGAAGAAGUGCAUCGGAAACUGGGAAACUUGAGUGCAGAAGAGGACAGUGGAACUCCAUGUGUAGCGGUGAAAUGCGUAGAUAUAUGGAAGAACACCAGUGGCGAAGGCGGCUGUCUGGUCUGUAACUGACGCUGAGGCUCGAAAGUAUGGGUAGCAAACAGGAUUAGAUACCCUGGUAGUCCAUACCGUAAACGAUGAAUGCUAAGUGUUGGAGGGUUUCCGCCCUUCAGUGCUGCAGCUAACGCAUUAAGCAUUCCGCCUGGGGAGUACGGCCGCAAGGCUGAAACUCANAGGAAUUGACGGGGGCCCGCACAANCGGUGGAGCAUGUGGNNUAAUUCGAAGCUACNCGAAGAAC
Molecule: ribosomal RNA, 565 nt
Filed under: Lactiplantibacillus plantarum
Lineage: Bacteria; Bacillati; Bacillota; Bacilli; Lactobacillales; Lactobacillaceae
Description: bacterial SSU rRNA
Rfam family: Bacterial small subunit ribosomal RNA
Source: RNAcentral